AGAGUUUGAUCCUGGCUCAGAUUGAACGCUGGCGGCAUGCCUUACACAUGCAAGUCGAACGGCAGCACGGACUUCGGUCUGGUGGCGAGUGGCGAACGGGUGAGUAAUAUAUCGGAACGUACCCUGGAGUGGGGGAUAACGCAGCGAAAGUUGCGCUAAUACCGCAUACGAUCUACGGAUGAAAGUGGGGGCUCGCAAGACCUCAUGCUCGUGGAGCGGCCGAUAUCUGAUUAGCUAGUUGGUAGGGUAAAAGCCUACCAAGGCAUCGAUCAGUAGCUGGUCUGAGAGGACGACCAGCCACACUGGGACUGAGACACGGCCCAGACUCCUACGGGAGGCAGCAGUGGGGAAUUUUGGACAAUGGGGGCAACCCUGAUCCAGCAAUGCCGCGUGAGUGAAGAAGGCCUUCGGGUUGUAAAGCUCUUUUGUCAGGGAAGAAACGGUGAAGGCUAAUAUCCUUUGCUAAUGACGGUACCUGAAGAA
Molecule: ribosomal RNA, 483 nt
Filed under: uncultured bacterium
Lineage: Bacteria
Description: bacterial SSU rRNA
Rfam family: Bacterial small subunit ribosomal RNA
Source: RNAcentral